RNAcentral lists this RNase P RNA (214 nucleotides) under Thermomonas sp. RNAcentral's name for it is "partial RNase P RNA component class A". It matches the Rfam family "Bacterial RNase P class A", at positions 1 to 208 of the family's 367-position model. Rfam says of the family: Ribonuclease P (RNase P) is a ubiquitous endoribonuclease, found in archaea, bacteria and eukarya as well as chloroplasts and mitochondria. Its best characterised activity is the generation of mature 5'-ends of tRNAs by cleaving the 5'-leader elements of precursor-tRNAs. Cellular RNase Ps are ribonucleoproteins. The record is from RNAcentral. Lineage: Bacteria; Pseudomonadati; Pseudomonadota; Gammaproteobacteria; Lysobacterales; Lysobacteraceae.
GGAGUCGGCCAGGCAGUCGCGUCAUCACGUCGCAAGGCGGGGUGCCGAGGAAAGUCCGGGCUCCACAGGGCACGGUGCCAGGUAACGCCUGGGCGGCGCGAGUCGACGGAAAGUGCAACAGAAAGAUACCGCCUAUGUCGGAGCAAUCUGGCAGGCAAGGGUGAAAUGGUGCGGUAAGAGCGCACCGCGAGCCUGGCAACAGGCCGGCAUGGCA